Molecule: ribosomal RNA, 491 nt
Filed under: uncultured bacterium
Lineage: Bacteria
Description: partial 16S ribosomal RNA
Rfam family: Bacterial small subunit ribosomal RNA
Source: RNAcentral
AGUGAACGCUGGCGGUAGGCCUAACACAUGCCAGUCGAACGGCAGCACAGUAAGAGCUUGCUCUUACGGGUGGCGAGUGGCGGACGGGUGAGGAAUACAUCGGAAUCUACUUUUUCGUGGGGGAUAACGUAGGGAAACUUACGCUAAUACCGCAUACGACCUACGGGUGAAAGCAGGGGAUCUUCGGACCUUGCGCGAUUGAAUGAGCCGAUGUCGGAUUAGCUAGUUGGCGGGGUAAAGGCCCACCAAGGCGACGAUCCGUAGCUGGUCUGAGAGGAUGAUCAGCCACACUGGAACUGAGACACGGUCCAGACUCCUACGGGAGGCAGCAGUGGGGAAUAUUGGACAAUGGGCGCAAGCCUGAUCCAGCCAUACCGCGUGGGUGAAGAAGGCCUUCGGGUUGUAAAGCCCUUUGUUGGGAAAGAAAUCCAGCCGGCUAAUACCUGGUUGGGAUGACGGUACCCAAAGAAUAAGCACCGGCUAACUUCGUG